RNAcentral lists this ribosomal RNA (190 nucleotides) under uncultured bacterium. Its description in RNAcentral is "partial 16S ribosomal RNA". It matches the Rfam family "Bacterial small subunit ribosomal RNA", at positions 1314 to 1500 of the family's 1533-position model. The record is from RNAcentral.
GACUACAUGAAGCUGGAAUCGCUAGUAAUCGCGAAUCAGAAUGUCGCGGUGAAUACGUUCCCGGGUCGUUGUACACACCGCCCGUCACACCAUGGGAGUCAGUAACGCCCGAAGUCAGUGACCCAACCGGAACUGGAGGGAGCUGCCGAAGGUGGGACCGAUAACUGGGGUGAAGUCGUAACAAGGUAAC